AAACCAUGAUGGGGGCAAUCUCACUGAUACAACUUGAAUCUCAGCCAUGCGGCUUUGAAUGCCUCAAUCGGUCCUUGAGAGAAAGUGGAGAUUUUGAGUCUCAGUUC
Small nucleolar RNA from Eutrema salsugineum, 107 nucleotides. It matches the Rfam family "Plant small nucleolar RNA R71". From Rfam's summary of the family: R71 is a member of the C/D box family of snoRNAs containing the C (UGAUGA) and D (CUGA) box motifs. Multiple nearly identical copies of this snoRNA have been identified in Arabidopsis, and it is thought to function as a 2'-O-ribose methylation guide for 18S ribosomal RNA. NCBI's taxonomy places the organism in Eukaryota, Viridiplantae, Streptophyta, Magnoliopsida, Brassicales, Brassicaceae. The record is from Rfam.